UUGGUUAAGUUAGAAAGGGCGCACGGUGGAUGCCUUGGCACUAGGAGCCGAAGAAGGACGGGACUAACACCGAUAUGCUUUGGGGAGCUGUACGUAAGCGUUGAUCCAGAGAUUUCCGAAUGGGGGAACCCACUAUCUUUAGUCGGAUAGUAUCCUUACGUGAAUACAUAGCGUGAGGAAGGCAGACCCAGGGAACUGAAACAUCUAAGUACCUGGAGGAAGAGAAAGAAAAAUCGAUUUCCUGAGUAGCGGCGAGCGAAACGGAAAGAGCCCAAACCAAGAAGCUUGCUUCUUGGGGUUGUAGGACACUCUAUACGGAGUUACAAAAGAAAGUUAUAAAUGAAGCGGUCUGGAAAGGCCCGCCAAAGACGGUAACAGCCCGGUAGUUGAAAUGGCUUUCCCUCCAGAGUGGAUCCUGAGUACGGCGGAACACGUGAAAUUCCGUCGGAAUCCGGGAGGACCAUCUCCCAAGGCUAAAUACUCCCUAGUGACCGAUAGUGAACCAGUACCGUGAGGGAAAGGUGAAAAGCACCCCGGAAGGGGAGUGAAACAGUUCCUGAAACCGUGUGCCUACAAGUAGUUAGAGCCCGUUAAUGGGUGAUAGCGUGCCUUUUGUAGAAUGAACCGGCGAGUUACGAUUUGUUGCAAGGUUAAGCGGAAAAAGCGGAGCCGUAGCGAAAGCGAGUCUGAAUAGGGCGCAUAAGUAACAGGUCGUAGACCCGAAACCAGGUGAUCUACCCAUGUCCAGGAUGAAGGUAAGGUAAUACUUACUGGAGGUCCGAACCCACGCACGUUGAAAAGUGCGGGGAUGAGGUGUGGGUAGCGGAGAAAUUCCAAUCGAACUUGGAGAUAGCUGGUUCUCUCCGAAAUAGCUUUAGGGCUAGCCUCGAGGUAAAGAGUCAUGGAGGUAGAGCACUGUUUGGACUAGGGGCCCUUCUCGGGUUACCGAAUUCAGAUAAACUCCGAAUGCCAUGUACUUAUACUCGGGAGUCAGACUGCGAGUGAUAAGAUCCGUAGUCGAAAGGGAAACAGCCCAGACCACCAGUUAAGGUCCCCAAAUAUAUGUUAAGUGGAAAAGGAUGUGGGGUUGCUUAGACAACCAGGAUGUUGGCUUAGAAGCAGCCACCAUUGAAAGAGUGCGUAAUAGCGCACUGGUCGAGUGACCCCGCGCCGAAAAUGUACCGGGGCUAAACAUAUUACCGAAACUGUGGAUGAACCUCUUUAGAGGUUCGUGGUAGGAGAGCGUUCUAAGGGCGGUGAAGUCAGACCGGAAGGACUGGUGGAGCGCUUAGAAGUGAGAAUGCCGGUAUGAGUAGCGAAAGAAGGGUGAGAAUCCCUUCCACCGAAUAUCUAAGGUUUCCUGAGGAAGGCUCGUCCGCUCAGGGUUAGUCGGGACCUAAGCCGAGGCCGAUAGGCGUAGGCGAUGGACAACAGGUAGAGAUUCCUGUACCAGUGCUAAUUGUUUAACCGAUGGGGUGACACAGAAGGAUAGGGAAUCGCACGAAUGGAAAUGUGCGUCCAAGCAGUGAGUGUGAGAAGUAGGCAAAUCCGCUUCUCGCGAAGCAUGAGCUGUGAUGGGGAAGGAAAUUAAGUACGGAAGUUCCUGAUUUCACGCUGUCAAGAAAAGCCUC
This 1631-nucleotide ribosomal RNA is filed under the name Listeria monocytogenes. RNAcentral describes it as "bacterial LSU rRNA". It matches the Rfam family "Bacterial large subunit ribosomal RNA", at positions 1 to 1621 of the family's 2925-position model. Lineage: Bacteria; Bacillati; Bacillota; Bacilli; Caryophanales; Listeriaceae. The record is from RNAcentral.